RNAcentral lists this ribosomal RNA (275 nucleotides) under uncultured bacterium. Its description in RNAcentral is "partial 16S ribosomal RNA". It matches the Rfam family "Bacterial small subunit ribosomal RNA", at positions 84 to 354 of the family's 1533-position model. The record is from RNAcentral.
CCCGCCGGCGACCGGCGCACGGGUGAGUAACACGUAUGAAACCUGCCCGUAGCAGGGGGAUAAGCGGAAGAAAUUCCGUUCUAAUACCGCGUAACAACCCAUGGAGGCAUCUCUGUGGGUUUAAAGGAAGCGAUUCCGGCUACGGAUGGUCAUGCGUCGCAUUAGCUUGUUGGCGGGGUAACGGCCCACCAAGGCGACGAUGCGUAGGGGUUCUGAGAGGAAGGUCCCCCACACUGGUACUGAGACACGGACCAGACUCCUACGGAAGGCAGCAG